Molecule: long non-coding RNA, 236 nt
Filed under: Salvia miltiorrhiza (redroot sage)
Lineage: Eukaryota; Viridiplantae; Streptophyta; Magnoliopsida; Lamiales; Lamiaceae
Description: long non-coding RNA (SMIL_LNC010021)
Source: RNAcentral
GUGAGUUGAGAGGGUGAGAGGAGAGAGAGAAAGCUUGUAUAUUUCUUUUAAAUUUUUGUUUUAUUUAUUUUAAGGUUUAAUUUAAGUUUUGAAUUGAUUUGGGCUUUUCUUUAAAAUCUGAUGGACUCUUGUAAAAUGGGCCGAAGUUCUUUUAAUAACUUGGGCUAUAUUUUUUUUCUUAUUUAUAUUGGGCUCUGAUUAAUUAUUUGAACACUUGGGCUUAAUUGGUUAUUAUA